AAGACUAUAGACCUGCGGAGUACCUGCGGAGGGAUCAUUAUCGUAUUGUAACAAUUGGGGGGGCCACCGUGGGCUGUCGCUGACCCUUUGAAAGGGGGGUCGUGCACGCCCCCAUAGUGUCAUCCUCAUACAAUCCAACUCACCUCUGUGCAUCACCGCGUGGGUUCCUUUCUGGGUCGAGUCAGACUGGCUCAGAAAAAAGGGGCUUGCGUUUUCCAUACAAUACCCUUAUAAAUCCAG
This 240-nucleotide unclassified non-coding RNA is filed under the name soil metagenome. RNAcentral describes it as "partial contains 5.8S ribosomal RNA, internal transcribed spacer 2, and large subunit ribosomal RNA". The record is from RNAcentral.